RNAcentral lists this ribosomal RNA (253 nucleotides) under uncultured bacterium. RNAcentral describes it as "partial 16S ribosomal RNA". It matches the Rfam family "Bacterial small subunit ribosomal RNA", at positions 524 to 776 of the family's 1533-position model. The record is from RNAcentral.
UACAGAGGUCCCAAGCGUUGUUCGGAUUCACUGGGCGUAAAGGGUGCGUAGGCGGUCGGGUAAGUCUGACGUGAAAUCUUCAAGCUUAACUUGGAAACUGCGUCGGAUACUAUUCGGCUCGAGGAAUGGAGGGGAGACUGGAAUACUUGGUGUAGCAGUGAAAUGCGUAGAUAUCAAGUGGAACACCAGUGGCGAAGGCGAGUCUCUGGACAACUCCUGACACUGAGGCACGAAAGCUAGGGGAGCAAACAGG